This 745-nucleotide long non-coding RNA is filed under the name Elaeis guineensis (African oil palm). Its description in RNAcentral is "long non-coding RNA (EGUI_LNC065048)". The record is from RNAcentral. Lineage: Eukaryota; Viridiplantae; Streptophyta; Magnoliopsida; Arecales; Arecaceae.
CUGGCUAGAUGUGAAACCCAAUGGGUCACACACAAAGAGAAUUGAUCAUGGGUUUUGUUGGUGCAAAAAUCUGCUUGCGCCGGAGAAGCUGGAGUUGGGGGAGCCGCGGUCGCCGUCGGGACCUGCAAAGGAAGUCUAAACCGGAGGUGGGGUUGCUCCGGCAAGACCCUCCGACGCUCAAGUCAGUUCUCUGCCUCAACAAGAAUGGAGCGCUCGAACGGAGAAUUUAGCAGAGUUUUGAGAUAAAAAAUGAGCUUAUAGAAUAACGUAUCUGGGUCCUCCCUUUUUAUAGGCGGGAGAGGUAGCGGAUUGAUGGCGAUAUCGGUAACCAUCUAGCAGUGGGCUGCCCAGGGUCAGGCGGAGUUUGCUGCGAAGAGUAGUGGAAUAGACUCGUGGCUAUCACUGGGGCGUGCCAUGUGGAGUCUGUCGCGUGAAGUGGGGCGACGUUUGUUGUCGUGACUUGCCAGCGGAUGGGAGAAUUGUGCGGUAUCCGUUGCAGGAGGUGGAGCAGGAUCGCGGCCGUUUAUCGUGGCCUGUCAGGUAGUAAUGGAGCCGUGUGGGAUCCGUCGUAGGGAGUGGAGCAGUGCUGUGAUCGUUACUGCGGCCUGUCAGGGAGUGGUGGAGCUGCGCAGAAUCUACUGCAGGAAGUGUAGCAGAAUCGUGACCGUGAUUGUGGCCCGGGAGUGCAGACUGUCGGCUGAAGUUUGGCAGUGGUCGGAAUCUGACCCCACGUAGGGGUCCGGGC